AGCAGGAUCAAUAACGGAAAACAAAAUGUUUUGCUUUCUCACCAAAAAUUUUUGUUGGGAAGAGGGGAAUGAACAAACCCACUGGUUUGUUUGCCCCCCCUUACAAAAAGAGAAAGCAAAAUACCGUUAAACCUUAAAUUUCGGAGUGACGCCCAUGAAAUACCGGCCGACUGUGCGAAGCCGGGAGUCAGCCCCUUAAAUUGGUGGGUUUGUUUUUUUCAUUAAAAACAUAACCCCAACCACGUUGUUUUGGGGGAUAGGGGCAAAAACAAUAAAUAAACCCCCCCAAUCCAACAAACCAUUUUUUACACCGCGUAACGGUGGAUCUCUUGGUUCGUGCCUCGAUGAAAACCGCAUCCAAGCGCGAUAGUUAUGGUGAAUCGCAGAGAACCGCGAGCCAGAAAACUGUUGAAUGCACGCUGCGGCCCGGGGAACUUCCAUUCCCUGGGUCACACAUUUCCGAGUGUCGGUUUUUCAACUCCGACAUAAAGGUAACACCUGAGUGGUGUUUUGCCUACACCAUCUGGUGAAGCAAGCUGCGCACUUGUCCUCUUCUUUCUUUUCUUCGGAAAUUAAAAGAGAGGACAGCCGUUUGACAGAUUGCGGCAAGAGCCCCAAUUUCCCCUGUUCACGACGAUCUGCAUUUCCUUUACAAGUCAUGCUCCGUUGUUGUUCGGGUUGGGUGUUUUUCUCUGCCGGACUGCAAAUCCGCAAGACAAUCCUUCACCGGGUUUUCUUGUUUUUUAAGACCUCGGGAAUGUGAGAUCACGCCCGGAACUUAAGCAUAUCAUUAAGGGCAGGACAAGAAAGCAACCGCGAUUCCAUUAGUAACUGCGAGUGAACAUGGAAACACGCAAGUGAGCCCAUCCACAAGACCUUGCGGCGGAGGGAAACCAAAGCCGCAGUACUGCAAGGUUUGGAUGUUUCGGCGAUCCUGAGGUUUGCCCCAGCAAGUUGCCUGGAACGGCACGCCAUGGAGGGUGACAGCCCCCGUUCGGCUGGGCAGCCAAGGGAAACAAAGCUGAAGCGUUCCGAGAGUCGGACUGUUUGAGACUGCAGUCUGAACCGGGAGAUAUGCCUCUCCCAAGGCUAAACAUUGGCACGAGACCGAUAGCGAACAAGUAGAAUGAUCGAAAGAUGCAAAGCACUCUGCAAAGAGAGUGAAAAGUACGUGAAACCGUUACGUUGCAACGUAACGACACCCAUCCGUUUGAAAGCCCCCGGCUGCCUUCGGGCGGUCAAGCGACGGGGGAUUUUGGGGCAGCACCAAUCAGGACUGCCGCACGGCGGUGCGGAGCAUGCCAGGCUGCAAACUUGUUUGCGGCUUGGCCUCCGUGCUGGUCUCUGGACGGUCCUGAUUCGAAACCUUUUCUGGGGCAAUGCAUGGGCUUGCCACCGCGUUUGGGUGCGGCCGCAGCGCCGCUGGCUUUUUAACCAACUGCCAGUGACCUGAGGUUGUGCCACGACGUGUCGAGCGGCCUGUCGCAGCGCUUCAGUAACGUAUGCUGCUUUGAAUGGUGUCGUUACACCCGUCUUGAAACACGGACCAAGGAGUCUACUGCAUGCGCGAGCGUUAUGGUGAUAGAAACCAUCAACGCACAAUGAAAGUGAACGGUGGGCUUGUUCCUACCUUUGUGUGGCGAAGCCGCAAGGCUGCAGUCACGGCCGCGCCCAGGGAGCAGGGACGCGAGUCAAAGUGCAUCCAGUGGGACCCGAAAGAAGGUGAACUUUUCCCGAACAGGGCGAAGCCGGGAGAAAUUCCGGUGGAGGCUCGUAGCAGUGCUGACGUACAAAUCGCUUGCCAAAUUCGGGUAAAGGGGCGAAAGACUCAUCGAACUUUCUAGUAGCUGGUUCCCUC
Molecule: unclassified non-coding RNA, 1858 nt
Filed under: uncultured fungus
Lineage: Eukaryota; Fungi
Description: sequence contains 18S rRNA gene, ITS1, 5.8S rRNA gene, ITS2, 28S rRNA gene
Rfam family: Eukaryotic large subunit ribosomal RNA (bases 747-1858)
Source: RNAcentral